This is a long non-coding RNA of Hemicordylus capensis (graceful crag lizard), 1083 nucleotides long. RefSeq lists it as uncharacterized. Lineage: Eukaryota; Metazoa; Chordata; Lepidosauria; Squamata; Cordylidae. The transcript is spliced from 12 exons. The record is from RefSeq and is a predicted model, not a curated record.
AAGGUUAGACUGCAGCAAGCCACACUGGUCAGAGUAAAGAAAUGGCGGCUGCUCUGAAAAUAUAAAUGGUCUCAAGCCAUUUGAGUCGGUGUCUAACUUUAAAACUGAAGCAGUUGAUUUAUUAGUAUCUGUUAAAAUCUGGAUGAAGUGGGGUAUGUGCCUAGGGAUAUCUUAAUUUUGCAGUGGACUCUGGCGAGCACCAUGUGGCCAGCAAGGAGCCGCCACCCCGGUUUGCAGAACAAGUAAAAGCAUGCUGUACUGUUGAUUUGAUUCAGAUGCUUUCAGCAUGGCACAGAACUCCUUCUCCAUUAGCUUUCAGGGUGUUGUUAUUUUCUGUAAAUCUUAAUUUGCAAGCUUCUAUAUUCUGCCCUGCAAAUGUGCAGAGACCACCAUCUUGUUCUUGAGUGCCCUGUUUUCUUUCAGGCGGAAGGAAUCACUCAGUAUUGGGGAAUUGGAGAGGAUAUGUUGCAGAUAGCAUCUCUUUGGAGUGUGGCUGGUGAAUACUGUUGCAGAAACGAAGUGUGGCCUUUUCCUCAGCAAACCUCCCAGUCACUCUUGUGAGCUGGACCAAAGGCUUAGCAAGUCAAGGCCAUGCUUUCUUUAAAGGGUUUCACCAGUAAUUCUAUGAAGACUGAACCAUAAGGAGGAAGAUCUGUUGAUUUUGCAGAAUGGAUUGGCAUUGAGUCACCAAACAGAUUCUCCAGAAUGGAUUGGCAUUGAGUCACCAAACAGGAUUUGGGUGACUUGGAAGAGACCUUUGGAGUUAUGCUGCUGGUUUUGACCGUGGAAUUAAUAACCUGAGCACGAAUAGAAGAUGACUCUGCAAUAGCCAUUCACCUGUUGAGAGUAGAAAACUAUGGACAAUGGAAUGGUCUAAACUUCACAGCAGACUGAUCUAAAUUGGCAAGUCUAUUGGAUGAAGUAGUCUUCUGUCCACCUGAGGUAGCAGCUUGAACUGAGUUGCCUAAGGGCUUGAGAAGCUUAGAAGAGAUAUGUAUCGUCAAAUAAGGAAAAAUAAGCUGGAAUCCAUGCUGUUACAUUUAUGCUGUACCAUUGUAAAGAUUAAUAAAUCUUAGAAAUCUU